Molecule: ribosomal RNA, 291 nt
Filed under: uncultured microorganism
Description: partial 16S ribosomal RNA
Rfam family: Bacterial small subunit ribosomal RNA
Source: RNAcentral
GUGCCAGCAGCCGCGGUAAUACGUAGGUGGCAAGCGUUGUCCGGAAUUAUUGGGCGUAAAGCGCGCGCAGGCGGUUCCUUAAGUCUGAUGUGAAAGCCCCCGGCUCAACCGGGGAGGGUCAUUGGAAACUGGGGAACUUGAGUGCAGAAGAGAAGAGUGGUAAUUCCACGUGUAGCGGUGAAAUGCGUAGAGAUGUGGAGGAACACCAGUGGCGAAGGCGACUCUUUGGUCUGUAACUGACGCUGAGGCGCGAAAGCGUGGGAGCAAACAGGAUUAGAUACCUGGUAGUCC